GUAUAGUGAGUAUGUGCUGCUGUUUCAUUGUUCUCUUCCCCUCUCAUUCCUACCCUCCCUCUUCGCUCUUUUCAGGUGCCACCGGCUCUCGACCGUGAGCUGACACUGAUGUGUGCUGUCACCUCUGCUGCACCUGGAGGUGGGACUGAAACGUAUUCGCACAGGACGGGAAAUCUCAGGCCUUUCGCAUGCCAGUGCAGCGGUGACUCCAACAAAGAUGGCGGACCUCAAUUCUCCCUUUUGGCUUUUUAUAGGCCCCAUUAUUUCUUUGUUGGUGUACUGUAUUUUCUGAAAACGCAAACUAAUAUCAGACAUAAUCUAAUUGCCAUUGCUUCAAAAAAGAAGGCCUGUGUGUGUGUGUGUGUGUGAGAGAGAGAGAGUGAGUGAGUGAAUGAAGAGUGACUCACUCGCUGACUGCUCAUCAAUGCUUCAUAGGUUAGAUCAUUAGAUCUAAAGUGACAGCACUACACAAGGAUGGGGAGUGGGGGUUGCUUAGAUAAAGAUUGGCAUAUCGCUAUUGAUUCACCAUCCCUGGGGCUUCCUCUGUUACCAUGGUUAUAGCCAGCGGGGGGUGGGGUAGGCAUGUCAUUUUGACACAAGGAGAAUGAUGUAACCAUUAUGAUUCUGAUUUUAAAAUUUUACGAUCGCGUUUGAAUAAUCUCUCAAUUCCCCUGAACUUUAUUGCUUGGCAAAAGAAUGAUAACUCUUGAUUUGCCCCGAAAUGUAUGGCAUCGGAGGUGCAGAUAAUCAGAGUUAGUGUGCUUCCGAUGUGCAUGUCGCUGCAGAUAACCAUCUGUGAUCCUAUAACCAUUACUCUAACCCAUAACAACGGCCGCGCUUUGGAUAUACGAGUCAGGGUUUUCAUUGUGAGCGGAUAGGGGUUUGAAAAAAAAAAAAUUCCCGUCGCUGUUCUCGUUGAACUGCCAAACGCUUCAGCUGUCCUUCUAAAGCAGCCUGAAAUAAGAGCGGGCCUCAAGAGCUCUUUGAUCUUUUACUACCAGGGUCAGGGCUGAAAUGACGCGUAAAUGAGGGAGGAAUGAGUUUUCAUUUUGUCAACCUGUUCUGUUAUUGUAAAGCUAAGGGGCCUUUGGUGUGACAUGACAGGAGAUUGUUUUAAGUGCCCACACCAGUGGAACGGCUGGACAUGUUUGGGUGUCGCGGCCAAAAAGCUGUUCACCUACAUUACUUGCAGAUAUUUACUGUGUCUAGUGAACAGCUGUAAGAGGUUGCCUAGAUACAAUGUGUGUGUGUGUGUGUGUCAUUCAAAAGAGUCUACAUUCACAUGUGGUCAUGUAUAGGCAGGUUAUGGGUGAGAAUUUGUAUACUUCCACAACUCACGGGUGCCAGUACGAGUUCCUGAAUUGUGCAUGCAAUACUCCCCGAACACACCUGCUGGCUGUGGAGCGCUGUAGAAAAGAUGAAGAGGAUCCUCCAUCGGUACGAUAGCAGAGCAAAAGCAGCAGAAGUAACUGUUUGGCUAAAAGGGAGCAGCCUCUGUAGCUGUUUACGGCGCUCAGAUUUCCAGAGGAGUGGAGCCCGUGCUGGAGGUGCAUAAAGAGAGAAACCCCUGGAGCUGACAAAAGGCAAACGAAGAAGCGGAGGGGAGGAAGAUCGGGUGCCGUAUCCAUCGUUCAAGUCUCGGCUUGCGUUCAGUAGUUCAAUAUUACACCCACUCCACCCAUUUUUUGAUUUGAAACUGACAGUUUUUUUUUUCUGAAGCGCUUUACUCCAUAUCACAGGGAGGAAAUGAGAGCACUGAAUUCCACAAGAUGUGAAAGGUGAAAAAUGGAGAAAAACACCCUCCUCCUCCAGAUGUAAAAAAGGAAAACACCCAAAACACAGAGUGAAAACAAAUACAUAAAUAAAUAAAUCAACAAUAGGAGCUGCAGCUGAGAAGGGAGACAUUGCGAAAAAUUGCAGUGGGGAUAUUUUAAAUUGCCGUUGUAUAAAUAAUUUAGGUACCUGUGACAGUGUUGUUGUUCACCAUAAUGUUUGAUGCAUCAGAGAAAGGAGUAAGAUUAAGAAGCCUUUUUUUUUAUAAUUGAUGCCGCGGUGCACAUCUGGUGUUACGCUGCCACCAGUGCACAGCUAUCCUCUUUACAAAAUGACUGCAAAACUGUCAAUUGUCCCCACAGUUGAAUAGUUAGUGGCAGACUCUGUUCCUUCAGCUGGUAUGAAAAGGGCUAUUGCACACAUCUGAACCAUCUUACUUCUGGAGGCUACCAUAAAAGAUCUAAACCAGACUAUUAUGGGUUUGCAUUGAGUGUUUGACACGUUUUGAACAAAAGGCUGGCUGGAUUGAUGGAGAGAAAUAAUGCUUAUAGCUUUCUUGUGACCUCAACUAGACCUUGUAGAACACCCCAUGAUUCAGAGCGUUGUUAUGCCGGCCUAAUACCAUGUCAGUCCCAAUGCUCACGGUUAGCAUCACUCCUCCCUACCUUCGUCAGUAACUCGGCCGAGCACAAAUGACCCUUGCCAGUGCACUGGGGGCUGGCGUGAACUUAAUCACUUGAGCAAAUUGAAACCACUCGCUCUGCAGUAUUUUUACAGGGGUAUAGCAUAUGACCUCAGCCUAUACUGACUGACCUCUGCUUUUGAAAAGGACUCGAGGCCUGAGGAACAUUUUUUUUUUUCGGGUUGAUCCAUUUUAGGUCGGAAUUACCCCACUUGCUGUGUGAUUUAUAACACUGGCGUAAUUCUCUCAUAGUUGACAUUUAGAGGACGUGGUAAAAGUGUUGUUUUCAGUGUGAAUGUGUUUUUAUCAUUGGGGAGAUCCACCACCUUUUGAAGGCCUUCCGGAGCCCGCAGUAAAGUUUCUGACCCUGAUUACGGGUUCCCAGCUCUGGCUCCUAUCAGCGGGGGAGUAGGGUCAACGGCCCUCAGCAAAAAAAGAACCUUUAGUCAACACAACUGAUCUGACACAGUGUCGGAAUGCUCUGUGAUUGAUUCUUGCUGUCCGUGGGAAAAUAUGUAGUGACUUAAUUUCUUAUAUGAGUCAUCUGCCGCCACGAGAGCAGUGAAAGACAUAUGGCGGUGAAAUAGAAAAAAAGAAAAGCGCUAAUCCAGGCGGACGGGUUACAGGCUAGCUGUUAGCACAUGUUUACCUGUGUCUGUUCUUUUGUUCUUUAUCCCAGAGCUCAGCACUGGGAUGUCGGGGGCAUUGAGAGACUUACACAGGUUCACCAAGAUCUGCUUUCACUCAGACUCAUGUCAUGUCUCAAUGUUCUUGCACAAAAGACAUACAUGUUUUGCACGAAACGCUUGCAGGGGCGAUUCCUCGUGUGUUAGAAUUCUAAGGAAUAGAGGGAAUCCCUUAUGAACUCCCCCAUAACCCCCCCCCAUGCUCCUUCCAGCCCCCUUCUUAAUCGUAAACAGGCUAGCACAUAGUACAGCCACUGCGCCCUUAAUACCUCCUCGAGUACUAAGUAUUUAGUCUUGAUUUACAGAGGCAGUAAAACUCUUCAAAGUGCAGUGUAAUCUUUCAUUAGGGAUCCUGAAGUCGGUGUCAGCCAUAUCUGUUCUGCAUUACCUUUAAUCACUCAGUGUUUUACCUGUUCGUUUUAUUGUAACAAAGAUCAUAAAAACACCCUUGUUAAAAAAACACCCUCCCGACUUUUAGAUUAUCUUGUUAACACAGCCUUAAAAACUUGGCCCAUUGAGCUUUUUUUGGCGGUUUGCACAAAACGGGGUAAAUCUUUUUUUUUUUCUCCACUGUGACUUUAAUUUCUUUUGCUCAUUCGUGCUCAUCAGCUUUUGCUCUUCUUUCUUACUUUGAACUGAAUGUUAAAGCAUAGAACGAAAAAAAAAAAAAAGUGGUUUCAUAAAACAGUACAAUUACAGUAUAUAACUCUGGGAUAUUAAGAGGAGAGACUAAGUGAGUGAUGAUGAGUGUAAGUAUAACUUUUUAACACAGCCCAAUAAUUGACAUAUCACUAAGAGAGCCCCUUUGUAUGAGCUUUUCAAUAAGCCCCUCCACUGAACCAUGCUAUUGAUAUAACCGAUAUAAGGCCACUCUCUGUGGUCUCAACAGGAACUGAGCUGGGUGUAUCCAGGGUCCGGCCCAUGACACUGACCACUGCCCGUCACUGUGACAAGGGGGGGGGGGUUGGGCAUCUCAACCCGAGGUAUUUGACCUGCAUGACCUGUGACCCUUAGAUGAUUGAAGUGGCGGCUUUCCCUGCUCGGUUGCUUCAGCCCAGAGACAAGGUGACGAGUCCUUUAGGAGCUCUCCGGUUGCAAGAUUUUGAAGAGGGUAGAGGCAGAGGAGGCACAGGCGCCGGCCUUUGUUGCGGGCGUUGUUGUAAUCCGUCUGCCAGGCUAAGGCCUAAAGACAUGUCGGCCAGUCAUAAGAAAAGCUGGGCUGUGACCUUGAGUGGUCUCAACUAGUGUCAAUGUGGCUGGUUUGCUCAAGGGCAACUUGGUACUCAUGUAGCCUGAAUGACUCACUUAGUCAAGGCUUGGGUAACACACAGUGUACUUUGUUGAGCAGUGUUAACACACAUCGUAACUUGUGUAGAGGCAUAGUGGUUAGUGUAAUUUUUUGUUGUGCUUCAAAAAGGUAAGAUGACCCUUUUAAAAAACAUUCCCUGUGCUCGUCCCCUUAGAUUCUCCCCAUAGUGUUUACAACUAAAUCAUAUCCCUUAUAGUUCGGAUACUCCAGGUGUUACGUUUCAUUUCUAACUAAUCUAAUAAUCUCUCUUAGUUUUCACCUUGUCUAUGCCUCAAGGUCAAACAACUUUUCUCUCUUUAGUGGUCUCAAAUGUUGCUAGGCUGCUCCCAGGGUCAUCCCUACUAAUCCCCAGUUACUCCAGUCCUGGUGGAUUUCUCCCAUGGGCAGGUGAAACCAGAUCCCAAAUCCUGAAGCUGGGCCAAGAUGUCCGCAGAGAUAAGCAUCCUGAGCCCACUCCCAGUCAGGGGUCUUAGACAAGAAUUCAGAGAUAUAUCAUCACAAAUCCAUUAAGGCCAGCCCACUACUUUAGCCACAAAGCCCAGCUGCGGCCACCAGACCUUACAUCUAGGACCACGUUUAGACUCCAAAUCACCCCAUGACUGGACUUUACUGCCCCAGAUCCCUUCCUCACAUCAGUCUCUACUCUUAUGUCCUACUAUAUGGACCAAGGAAACACUAAAACAGUAUUACUUGUUAGUCACCUCAUCAUGUACAUGAUUCAUAUAAUACAUUUUCUAAGUCUUUUUUUUACUAGAUUUUGUCCCGCAUCAGGAUUAAGUUACUAAAUGGCCAACAUCAAAUAUCCCGUAGAACCGCCAAGGGAAACCUUUUUUACUCAUGUAAUUCUGUCUUAAUCAUGUUUGUACCAGCAAGACACUAGCUGAUGCAAAAAUAUGUGUUUCUUUGGUUUAAAAUAAAUCGCAAAUACACACAUUGUUAAAAAGGAUCCACAAAGUCAUGUGUUAACUUUUUUUAUAAUCUUAAUGUCGCAGUACUACAAAUGUCUGUAUUGCCUCACAUUGAUUCUACUCAGUGUAAAUGUAACAUUUUGAGUAGGUUGACAGACUUGGGUCUACCGUCCGGCUCUUGUCUUCUUGUGGUGUCUGCGGCUUUGCCAACCGCUCAACGUCCGCAUGAGGGGGGGGCAGGCAGUGGCCGUUGGCCACACGGCGGUUGAGUUGACAAUCUGUAGUGAGUGGUGGCAGACUACGCUAUUGUUUGUGGUGCAGUGUUUUUUUUGUGCAGCUUAAAAAGACAGCGCUUGUAUACGACAACCACAAGUGGGAGAUUAGUCUCCUUGUCUCUCCCCAUCUAUCCACUGCUCUGCCUUUCUUGCACCAACAGCAUUGUGUUUUUCGUCAAGGCCCCUUUACCCUUCAGUUAGCAUAGUUUUUAGAGGGAAU
Long non-coding RNA from Gasterosteus aculeatus aculeatus (three-spined stickleback), 5853 nucleotides. The record is from Ensembl. Lineage: Eukaryota; Metazoa; Chordata; Actinopteri; Perciformes; Gasterosteidae.